UCAGGGGGAAGGUGUAGCUUUGUGUACACUACAUACCCUCAACACAGGGGGAAGGUGUAACUUUGUGUACACUACAUACACUCAACACAGGGGGAAGGUGUAACUUUGUGUACACUACAUACCCUCAACACAGGGGGAAGGUGUAACUUUGUGUACACUACAUACACUCAACACAGGGGGAAGGUGUAGCUUUGUGUACACUACAUACACUCAACACAGGGGGAAGGUGUAACUUUGUGUACACUACAUACCCUCAACACAGGGGGAAGGUGUAGCUUUGUGUACACUACAUACACUCAACACAGGGGGAAGGUGUAACUUUGUGUACACUACAUACACUCAACACAGGGGGAAGGUGUAACUUUGUGUACACUACAUACACUCAACACAGGGGGAAGGUGUAACUUUGUGUACACUACAUACACUCAACACAGGGGGAAGGUGUAGCUUUGUGUACACUACAUACACUCAACACAGGGGGAAGGUGUAACUUUGUGUACACUACAUACACUCAACACAGGGGGUAGGUGUAACUUUGUGUACACUACAUACACUCAACACAGGGGGAAGGUGUAACUUUGUGUACACUACAUACACUCAACACAGGGGGAAGGUGUAACUUUGUGUACACUACAUACACUCAACACAGGGGGAAGGUGUAACUUUGUGUACACUACAUACACUCAACACAGGGGGAAGGUGUAACUUUGUGUACACUACAUACACUCAACACAGGGGGUAGGUGUA
Long non-coding RNA from Oncorhynchus keta (chum salmon), 747 nucleotides. RefSeq lists it as uncharacterized. The transcript is spliced from 4 exons. NCBI's taxonomy places the organism in Eukaryota, Metazoa, Chordata, Actinopteri, Salmoniformes, Salmonidae. The record is from RefSeq and is a predicted model, not a curated record.